This 716-nucleotide unclassified non-coding RNA is filed under the name Hevea brasiliensis (rubber tree). The record is from RNAcentral. Lineage: Eukaryota; Viridiplantae; Streptophyta; Magnoliopsida; Malpighiales; Euphorbiaceae.
CUAAAACCUCUCAUGCCCUUUCUCUCGACUCUCUUUCUUUUUUUAUUUUUUCUAGCGUUUAGAUUCUUCAUUUUUGCCGUACCAGGCGGCUUCUUCUGCCUUUUCGGGUAGAGGAAGGCCGCUUUCCCUUGCCCUCCCUCUCCCUCCCUCAUUUUGGGCGAGGUUUAGUGCCGAAGAGCUCUGCCUCCAUCCUCUCUGAAGGUCAUCAUAGGUAGCAGGGUGAUUUGGAUCUCAAGUUCGGUUGGCUGGUUGGGUUUGAGCUUCGAAUGUGGCUUUGUUAGGCAUGCAAACGUGUUUACUUUGGACGCCUAAGCUUUCUUCUCUCAAACGUCAUCCAGUUCUUGCUCAAGAGACCAGCGGCGCUAGAUUGUCUUUAAAGGUCCUUUGUGCUACUUUUAGAAGGACGGGUUGUUGGACAGUGUUUCAUAUGUGUCUCUCUUUCUCAUCUUGCCAGCGUCUGCUACCACCAGUUGACAAUUGGUGGCUGGUGGCAUUCCUCCUCUAAUCUCCUGUUAGCUCUAGGUUUGUUGGUUGUAAGCCUUUAGGCCAUGUAGCUUGUUUAGGGCUAGUAUUUGGGACCUUUUUUCUCCUUUAUGAUCUUGAAUUGUAUUUGGGUUUGGUUCUUUUGAGUUUGAGAUUGUAUUAAUCUUUGUGUUUUAACGAAUGAAUUCCUGCCUUUGAGAAAAAAAAAAAAGUAAUUAUAAAAUUGAGUGAGC